This 354-nucleotide unclassified non-coding RNA is filed under the name soil metagenome. RNAcentral describes it as "partial contains 5.8S ribosomal RNA, internal transcribed spacer 2, and large subunit ribosomal RNA". The stretch from base 1 to 120 matches the Rfam family "5.8S ribosomal RNA", at positions 35 to 154 of the family's 154-position model. The record is from RNAcentral.
GAUGAAGAACGCAGCGAAAUGCGAUAAGUAAUGUGAAUUGCAGAAUUCCGUGAAUCAUCGAAUCUUUGAACACACAUUGCGCCCCCUGGCAUUCCGGGGGGCAUGCCUGUCCGAGCGUCAUUUCUGCCCUCCAGCCCGGCUGGGUGUUGGGCGCUGUCCCCCCGGGGACACGCCCCAAAGGCAGUGGCGGCGCCGCGUCGGGUCCUCGAGCGUAUGGGGCUUUGUCACCCGCUCGGGACGGACUCGUCGGCGCUGGUCUUCCUCCAGGCGACCCUUCGGGGCUCGUCUUCCUUCGGUUGACCUCGGAUCAGGUAGGGUUACCCGCUGAACUUAAGCAUAUCAAUAAGCGGAGGA